UGGGGAAUAUUGGGCAAUGGGCGCAAGCCUGACCCAGCAACGCCGCGUGAGGGAAGAAGGCUUUCGGGUUGUAAACCUCUGUCCUUGGUGACGAAAAAAAUGACGGUAGCCAAGGAGGAAGCCCCGGCUAACUACGUGCCAGCAGCCGCGGUAAUACGUAGGGGGCGAGCGUUGUCCGGAAUUACUGGGCGUAAAGGGUGCGUAGGUGGCCUUUUAAGUUGGAUGUGAAAUACCCGGGCUUAACUUGGGGGGUGCAUCUAAUACUGGAGGGCUAGAGUGAAGGAGAGGAAAGCGGAAUAUGUAGUGUAGCGGUGAAAUGCGUAGAUAUGAGGAGGAACACCAGUGGCGAAGGCGGCUUUCUGGACUGUAACUGACACUGAGGCACGAAAGCGUGGGGAGCAAACA
RNAcentral lists this ribosomal RNA (405 nucleotides) under uncultured prokaryote. Its description in RNAcentral is "bacterial SSU rRNA". It matches the Rfam family "Bacterial small subunit ribosomal RNA", at positions 355 to 774 of the family's 1533-position model. The record is from RNAcentral.